GGUCAAUGAUUUUUUUUUUUUUUGGCUGACAUCAACCAUGUGCCUCCCCAAGACCUUUAAUACCCUCACUCCAAAGAGCCGUUGGGAUCUGGGAUCCGGGCCCUGGGAGAGCUUGGCUAAAGCACACCCCUGGUUCCUACCUUCCAGCGCGGGUCCGGACUCACCGCGCCCCAGCACUGGUGCGGACUGCGCUGGGCGCACUAGAGUUCAUUCUGCGCAGCCUCGACCCGCGACCCCGAGAGCAGAGGCUGCAGACAGACAGACGCCUGGUGUCCGUCUGGGAAUCAAAGGAAGAAGGCACUUCUCUCACCGGGAGCGCCGAGCCCAGCUGAGACCAGCCAGCUCACAUGCCCCACAAGCCUCUGACUUGCUGGGGCCCUUCUUGAGGCAUUGGGAUGAGUUUGCCAUAAGCAAGGUCCCUUCACCUACCCAGGGACCUUGGGCCAUUGCAAAAUUGCUUGCUUCUUUUUUGAUUCUAAAAAGGUCAUAAUUUUAAAAAUUACAGUUUUUCCUUGGGGUCCACAUUCCCCACGAAAUUAAGAUCUAUCCUUCUCCAGAAGCUCAGGGGGCCUCCUUGGGACAAGGUGGGACACUGCCAUUCCAUGUUCUUCUACAUCUACUCCCAAGGCAGUUAGGGGGUGGGGAGAGGGGGACACAGACACAAGUACAAAUGCACACUUUAAAAAAUCUUCCUCCUCCUUCUGGGCUAGUGGUGUAGCUCCGUGGGGGAAGGAACACUUGCCUAGUAGGAGGGAGGCCCUGGGUCCAAGCCCCAGGACUGCAAAAGAACAGGGAACACCAAUGUGCCUUUUAACAGUGUGAAGAGAAACAAGCCCAGAGAGGCCUUGCCACUGGCUCAAGGUCAAACAGCCAGCAGAAAGUAAUGCCCAGAACCUUAACGAAUCCUGAGAGUAUACUGAGUCCAAAAUGUGGCCCAAAUUGGCCUCCGAACUACUUAAGCUUAAGGCUCUUGGUUAUUGUUCUUCUUUGAUGAUGGCACAUGUAAACUGGUUUGAAAAACAAAAACUUUGGUGUGCAGAGGGCCAGAGGCAUGGGAAGGCCAAAAGGACCAGCUUAGCUCUUAAUUACUCUGUUUUUUAGCCUUUAGGAUGACAAAAUACAAUAAUGGAGAGCUUCUCUGAAAAUAGACACUAAAAAAUACCAUUUUGAGAAUAUUGUAUUCAAGCCUAAGAAGACCCUCAGUGAAGUCAGGAGUAGAGCUUCAAUUAGACGGAAAGAGCACAGUCCUUGGGGAGGGGGGUAGCCAGAUUGGGGGAUCCUAGAUCCUGCGUGGCUUCCAGGUCUCUAGAGAGGAUUGUCCCCAGAAAUGUUCGGGCUCCUCACUUACACCAGGUGUGCACCCAAACCACCAACAGAAGCACACAGAGGCAUCUCUGCCCGCAUUGGCUUGGUCCCUCCAAACACUUCCUAGACACUCACAGCCCAACGGAGGGUCGCCAGGAAGAAAGUUCAAGUCGACGGUCUAAGUGGUCUUUAACACCCCCCAACUCUCUCAGCCUCUCUGUUUACCCAUGUGAACGGCUCCUCUUCCCCCACCCCGCACUUCCACCCCCCUCCUUUCCGAGGUCA
RNAcentral lists this long non-coding RNA (1590 nucleotides) under Marmota monax (woodchuck). The record is from RNAcentral. Lineage: Eukaryota; Metazoa; Chordata; Mammalia; Rodentia; Sciuridae.